UCGAGCGGACCGAAUGGAAGCUUGCUUUCAUUCGGUUAGCGGCGGACGGGUGAGUAACACGUGGGUAACCUGCCCGUAAGACCGGGAUAACUUCGGGAAACCGGAGCUAAUACCGGAUAACACCGAAAACCGCAUGGUUUCGGUUGAAAGGCGGCUUCUAGCUGUCACUGCAGGAUGGGCCCGCGGCGCAUUAGCUAGUUGGUGAGGUAACGGCUCACCAAGGCGACGAUGCGUAGCCGACCUGAGAGGGUGACCGGCCACACUGGGACUGAGACACGGCCCAGGCUCC
RNAcentral lists this ribosomal RNA (289 nucleotides) under unidentified marine bacterioplankton. RNAcentral's name for it is "partial 16S ribosomal RNA". It matches the Rfam family "Bacterial small subunit ribosomal RNA", at positions 62 to 339 of the family's 1533-position model. The record is from RNAcentral.